RNAcentral lists this ribosomal RNA (252 nucleotides) under Lactococcus cremoris subsp. cremoris TIFN1. RNAcentral describes it as "Lactococcus lactis subsp. cremoris TIFN1 partial 16S ribosomal RNA". It matches the Rfam family "Bacterial small subunit ribosomal RNA", at positions 1 to 243 of the family's 1533-position model. The record is from RNAcentral. Lineage: Bacteria; Bacillati; Bacillota; Bacilli; Lactobacillales; Streptococcaceae.
UUUAUUUGAGAGUUUGAUCCUGGCUCAGGACGAACGCUGGCGGCGUGCCUAAUACAUGCAAGUUGAGCGAUGAAGAUUGGUGCUUGCACCAAUUUGAAGAGCAGCGAACGGGUGAGUAACGCGUGGGGAAUCUGCCUUUGAGCGGGGGACAACAUUUGGAAACGAAUGCUAAUACCGCAUAACAACUUUAAACAUAAGUUUUAAGUUUAAAGAUGCAAUUGCAUCACUCAAAGAUGAUCCCGCGUUGUAUUA